This 208-nucleotide ribosomal RNA is filed under the name uncultured bacterium. RNAcentral's name for it is "partial 16S ribosomal RNA". It matches the Rfam family "Bacterial small subunit ribosomal RNA", at positions 568 to 775 of the family's 1533-position model. The record is from RNAcentral.
CGUGUAGGCGGGAAGAUAAGUCGGGUGUGAAAUCCCUGGGCUCAACCUAGGAACUGCAUCCGAAACUGCCUUUCUGGGGUGAUGGAGAGGAAAGCGGAAUUCCCGGUGUAGAGGUGAAAUUCGUAGAUAUCGGGAGGAACACCAGUGGCGAAGGCGGCUUUCUGGCCAUCAACUGACGCUGAGACGCGAAAGCGUGGGGAGCAAACAG